This 429-nucleotide ribosomal RNA is filed under the name Bacillota bacterium. RNAcentral's name for it is "Firmicutes bacterium partial 16S ribosomal RNA". It matches the Rfam family "Bacterial small subunit ribosomal RNA", at positions 355 to 776 of the family's 1533-position model. Lineage: Bacteria; Bacillati; Bacillota. The record is from RNAcentral.
UGGGGAAUUUUGGACAAUGGGGGCAACCCUGAUCCAGCAAUGCCGCGUGUGUGAAGAAGGCCUUCGGGUUGUAAAGCACUUUUGUCCGGAAAGAAAACUUCGGGGCUAAUACCCCUGGAGGAUGACGGUACCGGAAGAAUAAGCACCGGCUAACUACGUGCCAGCAGCCGCGGUAAUACGUAGGGUGCGAGCGUUAAUCGGAAUUACUGGGCGUAAAGCGUGCGCAGGCGGUGCUGUAAGACCGAUGUGAAAUCCCCGGGCUUAACCUGGGAACUGCAUUGGUGACUGCAGCGCUGGAGUAUGGCAGAGGGGGGUGGAAUUCCACGUGUAGCAGUGAAAUGCGUAGCGAUGUGGAGGAACACCGAUGGCGAAGGCAGCCCCCUGGGCCAAUACUGACGCUCAUGCACGAAAGCGUGGGGAGCAAACAGG